RNAcentral lists this ribosomal RNA (289 nucleotides) under uncultured Dysgonomonas sp. RNAcentral's name for it is "partial 16S ribosomal RNA". Lineage: Bacteria; Pseudomonadati; Bacteroidota; Bacteroidia; Bacteroidales; Dysgonomonadaceae. The record is from RNAcentral.
CUACACGGGUAUCUAAUCCUGUUUGAUCCCCACGCUUUCGUGCUUGAGCGUCAGUUAUGGCUUAGUAAGCUGCCUACGCAAUCGGAGUUCCUCGUUAUAUCUAAGCAUGUCACCGCUACACAACGAAUUCCGCCUACUUCAUCCAUACUCAAGAAACCCAGUUUCAACGGCAGUUUCGACGUUAAGCGUCGAGAUUUCACCGCUGACUUAAGUUCCCGCCUGCGCACCCUUUAAACCCAAUAAAUCCGGAUAACGCUCGCAUCCUCCGUAUUACCGCGGCUGCUGGCAC